GGAAAUAACAACAGCCCCAAGCCUUUAUGGAGUAUGGGUGCCAUGAAGUGGUGCAGUUUUUGGUUCCAUUUGCAGGUUCAGAAGCUGAGGCUCAGACAGUUAGUAACUCACCCAAGGUCACUCAGUCUAUCAGAGUCAGGGCUGGGAUUCAAAGCCAGGCCAUGGGACCUGGACCUGGCAAUUCCUGCGCUAGGUAUUCACUCAUUAGUUCAUUCGGAACCAACUUGUUGGGGCUGGUCCAGUAGGAGGGCACAGCCUCUGCCUUUGUUUUCAUGUGAGUCCUUCCCUUGGGGCCCUUUCUUUCUCUGGGAGUUCUGGCAAUCUAGGGACCAGAGAGAGGCUCCUCCAGUUAGAGAACUGCCAGCUGACAGCACUUCCUGCCCUCCUAAGCACUGUCCACUGUCUGAAACCUCCUUUGCCCCCCGUAACCUCCUGCCUUCCUCGUGUUUCCUCACUUCUAUCAGUCUGCCUCUCAGAAGGCCCCAGAGCCUCUUCCAAGGGACCAGAUACUCCCUGGUGUUCAAGGUCUACUGGCUGGGGGAUCGUCAAUGUCACAUACCCGGAUUCUGUGUCCUGAAGGCUUCACCAGAGGAGAUGAGAGCAGUUACCUGCCUAGGGGAGCCGGCAGUUCUAGAAGAAACCAGCAGAUGGCGAUAGCGGCUCCCACGUCUCGGGUCCAUAGAAGCAGCUGGAUUCCCCCACUUGAUUUGCACUCUCUGGUUCUGGCUCCCUUGAGAGUUAGGGUGGGGAGAGUUCGGACAUCACCCGAGGCAGAAGGAGCUGCCAAACAUAACUUGGAAUGGAUAAUUAUUGUAAAAUAUUUGUUAAUUAACUCUGUGCUAAAACCCUGUUUGAAACUUGUUUGAAACUUGUCCCUGUUUGAAAACUCUGGGUGGGCCUUCUCCCUCUUGUGGGGCACCCUGCUCCCAGAGAGAUUAGAAACUAGCCUUAAAGUAUGUUUAUCUAAGUAUCCCAUACCUAAUGCUGCUGUACCACACCCUUGCUACAUCCCCUAUGAUCGAAACUCGAGCUACCCUCGCCACCUAAUGUUGCUUUUUCAAGCGCUCGCCACAUUCUGCUGUGUAACUGCAACUUAAACUACCCUGUAAAAGGUAUAAAAAGGAGAAACUGCCUUAAAUCGUGGUCAGCCUAGAAGGACU
This 1160-nucleotide long non-coding RNA is filed under the name Heterocephalus glaber (naked mole-rat). RNAcentral describes it as "lncRNA (ENSHGLG00000039253.1)". The record is from RNAcentral. Lineage: Eukaryota; Metazoa; Chordata; Mammalia; Rodentia; Bathyergidae.